GAAGAGCUUUCCCUGGCCACAGCAGCAUGGUGUGGACAGUGGGUGAGCAGCAGACAGGUCCUGCCCAUUUAUACACACCCUGGCAGCUGUGCCGUGAGCCUGGAGCACGCUCUCGCCUCUCUUGCCCAGCCUGGCCAUGGCUGCUUCACAAGACAGACCUAUCUGCGUUGAAGGCUGGGGAUUUCGAUGAUUGGGGAGUUUUAUGUCCCCUACCCAGUCCUGUCCCAACCCUCCCUCACAUCUUACACUGUGAGUCUGCCUCUCCCAGGAGGAGUCUCUCAUUAAGGUCUGGGGCUGGCCAAUGAGGCAGGGUUGCCUAGCUGUGCAGUGAGCUCCUGGGACCUGUCAGAACCGGAACCACAGACAGACAUGUGCCACUCAGAGUCAGAACCACAGACAUGUGCCACUCAGAGUCGGAACCACAGACAUGUGCCACUAUGCCUGGUUGUUUACACAGGCUCUGGAGAUCGACCUCGAGUCCUCGGUUUUUCGAGGCAAGCAUUUUAUAGAUUGAGCUCCCUCAGCCUCAACAGACACAGGAUUUUAAAACAGGGUGUCGUCAUCACAUUAACCCUUCGAGGGAGGUUUUGUCAUACUCCAUUUAAUACGCAACCAUUUUAAGGGUCAUGACUGAGAGACCUGUGGGAGGCUACAACCCAAGCUGGCUAGUGAUGGAUUUAAGCUACGUCUUCUAUGAAGAAGCAGCUGAGACAAUGCGUCCUUGAGGAGUCAGGUAGUCUCCUCUGGCCCUUCUACCUCCCUUCUCACCUUCGUCAUUGAUGUAGGCCUCCCAGUCAAAGGUAGAGUUGCCGGCCCAGCUCUCCUGGCUGUUCCAAGUGUCAUUGAUGUACCAAGUGUCAUUGCCGUACCAAGUGUCAUUGCUGUACCAAGUGUCAUUGCCAUACCACGUGGUGUUGGUGUCAUUCAUGGGCGGGGGCCAACGCACGCACUUCUGACGCAGGUUUCCCAUGAAAAGCUGCAGCCCCACCAGGGCAAAGACACUCAGGCAGAAGACAGUGAGGAUCAUCACAUCCGACAGCUUUUUCACAGACUGGAUCAGGGCUCCCACAAUUGUCUUCAGCCCUGGUCACAGGGAGGGCGAAAGCAUCAGCAGGGGUAAGGGUGGGGUGGUGGGGGACUCCUGCUCUGAGAUUCAGCCAGCCCCAUCUCUGAGGCUGGUUUCACUCCUCACAGCUUCUUCCCCAAAGCCUCCCUAUAGCAACCCUAAGCACUUCCCCCAUGUGGAGCUGGGCUUUGCCCAUAGAAGAAUGGCCUCUAAGAGUCAAUGGGCUGCUGCCUGACCCUCAGAACUACACAAAAGCACACAGAGAAAUUUAAUAGAUGUCACUAGGUUAGCACUUCCAAAGUGUGUUCUCAAGACCGUCCCUCAUCUCACCGUGCCCUUAAGGAAAAGGAGAAGCCACCAUGUUAGGGAAAGGGAGUACCCUAGAGUCCAUUAACGAUGAAUUCCCAAAGACCAAUGGGGUUCACUCCGAGAAUCUCUAGAAUGAUUUUGAAAAAUCAGUGUCUGCAUGCAAAACAGGGGCAACACAGCCUUUAAUCCCAGUGCUCAGGAGGCAGAGGCAGGGGGAUCUCUGAAUUUGAGGCUAGCCCGGUCUACAGAGCAAGUUCUAGGACAGCCAGGGCUACACGAAGAAACCCUGUCUCAAAAACAAAACAAAACAAACAAAUCUCCCCCCCCCCCCAAAACAUUUUUGGAUAGACAUUUGUUCCACUGCACACAAAGGUAAAAAACAAUCCUGAUGUAAUUCUGCCCCAGGGCAGAUUUCUGCCAUUGAAGGAAGUCACAGCUUCCUUCUUGGAUCUGCUCAUUCAUUUCUCCCUUCUUUUCCUGUCACGGAAACCAGAUGCUCCACAUUCCCCUUUGAGAGCCCUCCUGAGUGCUGAAGGUGCAGAAGAGGAAGGCAUUUAGCGAACUCCAUUAGUGCUGCGUGUCUCACGGGCCUCCGAUGCAUGGAAGGGCUCUGGACUCUCGAAGAUGGCCAUACGUCCUGGCAUAAGGACUGAGCUGUUUCUCUCCUCCACAGCCCACUCGCCUUCCUUUUGUGGUAAUUGGACCUCCCUGUGUGAACUGUUUACAGGCUCUAGCUCAGCUUUUGGCUGCUGGGAUACACCCAGGACCUCACAAUGCAAAGCAAGGAGAAAUCAAUCGAGUUACACCUUCUGCUGUCUGCGGGUGGUGUAUGCAUACAUGUAUAUGAGUAUGCAUACAUGUACAUGAGUAUGCAUAGAUACCUAUGUGUGCAUGUGUAUAUUGUUUGAGGCUGAGUCUCUAGAUAGAGCACAGGAUGGUCUCAAACUUGGAAUCUUUUUGGUCUCUCUCAUGCUAAGAUCACAGGUAUGGAGUCACUCACCAUGCUGGAGUUUUUUGCAGAGCUGUGUGACUCAUUCUUCUUUUUAUUAAAAAGAAAAGAUUCA
Rattus norvegicus (Norway rat) is the source of this 2439-nucleotide long non-coding RNA. RefSeq lists it as uncharacterized. The record is from RefSeq and is a predicted model, not a curated record. Lineage: Eukaryota; Metazoa; Chordata; Mammalia; Rodentia; Muridae.